This 907-nucleotide ribosomal RNA is filed under the name uncultured bacterium. RNAcentral describes it as "bacterial SSU rRNA". It matches the Rfam family "Bacterial small subunit ribosomal RNA", at positions 1 to 924 of the family's 1533-position model. The record is from RNAcentral.
GCCCUUAGAGUUUGAUCCUGGCUCAGAAUCAACGCUGGCGGCGUGCCUAACACAUGCAAGUCGAACGCGAAAGCCCCGCAAGGGGUUAGUAGAGUGGCGCACGGGUGAGUAACACGUGGGUAAUCUACCUGGAAAUGGGGAAUAACCCGCCGAAAGGCGGGCUAAUACCGCAUAACCUCCUUAGGGCGCAGGCCCCGGGGAGCAAAGGAGCAAUUCGUUUCCGGAGGAGCCCGCGGCCGAUUAGCUAGUUGGCGGGGUAACGGCCCACCAAGGCGAUGAUCGGUAUCCGGCCUGAGAGGGCGCACGGACACACUGGAACUGAAACACGGUCCAGACUCCUACGGGAGGCAGCAGUGGGGAAUUUUGCGCAAUGGGGGCAACCCUGACGCAGCAACGCCGCGUGGAGGAUGAAGGGCUUCGGCUUGUAAACUCCUUUCGGCCGGGACGAGUAGAAGACGGUGCCGGCGGAAGAAGCCCCGGCUAACUACGUGCCAGCAGCCGCGGUAAUACGUAGGGGGCGAGCGUUGUUCGGAAUUAUUGGGCGUAAAGCGCGUGUAGGCGGUUCGGUAAGGCGGAUGUGAAAUCCCCGGGCUCAACCCGGGAUCGGCAUCCGCGACUGCCGGGCUAGAGGACAGGAGGGGAGAGCGGAAUUCCCGGUGUAGCAGUGAAAUGCGUAGAUAUCGGGAGGAACACCCGUGGCGAAGGCGGCUCUCUGGACUGUUUCUGACGCUGAGACGCGAAAGCUAGGGGAGCAAACAGGAUUAGAUACCCUGGUAGUCCUAGCUGUAAACGAUGGAUGCUGGGUGUGAGCACUUCAUUGUGUUCGUGCCGGCGCUAACGCAUUAAGCAUCCCGCCUGGGGAGUACGGUCGCAAGGCUGAAACUCAAAUGAAUUGACGGGGAAGGGC